Molecule: ribosomal RNA, 887 nt
Filed under: uncultured organism
Description: SSU rRNA
Rfam family: Bacterial small subunit ribosomal RNA
Source: RNAcentral
GACGAACCCUGUUGGCGUGCCUAAUACAUGCAAGUCGAGCGGACCGAACGACUUUUUGCUCUUGUUUGGUCAGCGGCGGACGGGUGAGUAACACGUGGGCAACCUGCCCGCAAGACCGGGAUAACUCCGGGAAACCGGAGCUAAUACCGGAUAACACCGAAGACCGCAUGGUCUUCGGUUGAAAGGCGGCCUUUGGGCUGUCACUUGCGGAUGGGCCCGCGGCGCAUUAGCUAGUUGGUGAGGUAACGGCUCACCAAGGCGACGAUGCGUAGCCGGCCUGAGAGGGUGACCGGCCACACUGGGACUGAGACACGGCCCAGACUCCUACGGGAGGCAGCAGUAGGGAAUCUUCCGCAAUGGGCGAAAGCCUGACGGAGCGACGCCGCGUGAGCGAAGAAGGCCUUCGGGUCGUAAAGCUCUGUUGUGAGGGACGAAGGAGCGCCGUUCGAAGAGGGCGGCGCGGUGACGGUACCUCACGAGGAAGCCCCGGCUAACUACGUGCCAGCAGCCGCGGAAAUACGUAGGGGGCGAGCGUUGUCCGGAAUUAUUGGGCGUAAAGCGCGCGCAGGCGGUUCCUUAAGUCUGAUGUGAAAGCCCACGGCUCAACCGUGGAGGGUCAUUGGAAACUGGGGGACUUGAGUGCAGGAGAGGAGAGCGGAAUUCCACGUGUAGCGGUGAAAUGCGUAGAGAUGUGGAGGAACACCAGUGGCGAAGGCGGCUUUUUGGCCUGCAACUGACGCUGAGGCGCGAAAGCGUGGGGAGCAAACAGGUUUAGAUACCCUGGUAGUCCACGCCGUAAACGAUGAGUGCUAAGUGUUAGAGGGGUCACACCCUUUAGUGCUGCAGCUAACGCGAUAAGCUCUCCGCCUGGGGAGUUCGGCCGCAAG